UUUUCUUCUUCUUCAUCCAUGCUCCACGCCAUUCUUGAAGCUUCCAUGCCAUUUUCUCUUUAUCCACCAUGAAAUCAAGUUUUCUUCACUUUCCUUUCCAUGUUUUCUUUUCCUUUCUUCUCUAAACUUCUUGAGCACUAAAUUUACAACCUUUAACCCCAAUUUCCAGCACAUCUAAACCUUAGGAGGAGAAGAAAGAAAAAGAGAGAAAGGAAGAAAAAAGCUUGGUUUUGGUGAUUCAAGCAAGGAACGGUAAGAAUUCUUGUUCUUGGCUUGAGUAGUCUUUGAAAUGAGUUAGUGACUUAGAGAAAUGUCUUGUGGAAGCAAAGAUUGGUUUGAUUGGAGAAAAAUUGAUAACAUGUAAGCCAAUAAACCCAUGGGUACAUGAAGGUGUUGGUCCCAAUAAUAUGUG
RNAcentral lists this long non-coding RNA (412 nucleotides) under Theobroma cacao (cacao). RNAcentral describes it as "long non-coding RNA (TCAC_LNC002386)". Lineage: Eukaryota; Viridiplantae; Streptophyta; Magnoliopsida; Malvales; Malvaceae. The record is from RNAcentral.